GUGGAGCUUUACUGCAACUUGGCAUUGAGCUGUGUUUACCAAUUGUCUAGAAUAGGAGGGACCCUGAGAGCAAUCAAAGGGGACAGUGUAAUACCUCUCUUUGGUGAAUUUCAGAUCUUACCCAAGGGCCCUGAAGACGGGUCCGGGAACAGUGUUUGGUGGGCAGUUUCGCUGGGGCGGCGUCCUGCUAAAAAGUAACGCAGGAGCACAAAGGUUGGCUUACUCCCGAUGGAAACGGGAGCUCAAUGUGUAAGGGCACAAGCCAGCUUAACUGUGAGACCGACAGGUCGAACAGAUGCGAAAGCAGGUCCUAGUGAUCCCCGAGUCCGAUAUGGUAUCGGACCGGGCUUAACGGAUAAAAGCUANNAUCCUGGGGCUGGAGAAGGUCCCAAGGGUUGGUCUGUUCGCCCAUUAAAGCGCUACGUGAGCUGGGUUCAGAACGAUGUGAAUCAGUUGAGUCGCCUA
This 465-nucleotide ribosomal RNA is filed under the name Candidatus Blackburnbacteria bacterium. RNAcentral's name for it is "bacterial LSU rRNA". It matches the Rfam family "Bacterial large subunit ribosomal RNA", at positions 2093 to 2636 of the family's 2925-position model. Lineage: Bacteria; Candidatus Blackburniibacteriota. The record is from RNAcentral.